GACGAACGCUGGCGGCGUGCUUAAUACAUGCAAGUCGAACGGAAAGGCCCUGCUUUUGUGGGGCGCUCGAGUGGCGAACGGGUGAGUAACACGCGAGUAACCCCCCCUUAUCUUUGGGAUAUAUUUAGGAAACAGGGGCUCUUACACGAUAGGAGCUUCUGCUGCAUGGUGGGGGUUAGAAAGAUUCGGCGGUUGGGGAUCGACUAGCAGCUUACCAGCUGCAUGGGGAGGUAGUGAAUUACAAGGGCUUUGACGGGUAGCCGGCCUGAGAGGGUGAACGGCCACAUGACGCCUAAGAGACGCCCCAGACGCCUACGGGACGCAGCAGGGGGGAGUAUGGCACAAUGGGCGGAAGCCUGAUGCAGAAACGCCGCGUGCGGAAUGACCUCCUUCGAGUUAUAAACCGCUUUCGCCGGUGACGUAGCGUGAGUGACGGUAAUGAGUAAAGAAGCACCGGCUAACUACGUG
RNAcentral lists this ribosomal RNA (468 nucleotides) under uncultured bacterium. RNAcentral describes it as "partial 16S ribosomal RNA". It matches the Rfam family "Bacterial small subunit ribosomal RNA", at positions 28 to 507 of the family's 1533-position model. The record is from RNAcentral.